Molecule: long non-coding RNA, 1066 nt
Filed under: Citrus x clementina
Lineage: Eukaryota; Viridiplantae; Streptophyta; Magnoliopsida; Sapindales; Rutaceae
Description: Citrus clementina (C. clementina) long non-coding RNA (CCLE_LNC002133)
Source: RNAcentral
UUUGAAUUUAAAGUGUAGUAAGAAAAAAAUAUUUCUCCUGGAUACUUAAAGUUAUCUUGUUAUAUGUUCGGGAAAAGUAUAUAUUCAAAAGUUAUGAUAUUUAGAAUUCUUUUGCAAGUUUCAUUAUUGCAUAGAGUCCUAUAUAUUGUUGAGAUAUAAUUAGUAAUCUAGUAAAUUGAGCAAGAAGUUUAAACUGAAGAAAAGUUGAGAAAGCUUCUGAUUUUUCAUUCAAAAAAUAAAUCCACAUCAUCCUUGUAUAGUCAUCAACAAAAAGAAUGAAAUAUCUCCUGUUAUUGAGAGAGAGAGUCCUUGUAGGACCACAAAUAUCAGCAUGCACCAACUCCAACGGAGCUUUGGCUCUCCAUGAAUUUUUAGGAAAUGGAAGUCUAUGCAUUUUUCCAUAUAUACAGCCCUCGCAAACUUUUUCAUAUCUUCCAACAUCAGGUAAGCCAAUCACCAUGUUCUUUUGCUUGAGUUUACUAGAUUACUAAUUAUAUCUCAACAUAUAUAUUACACAAUUCUGGAAAUAGUUUGAUCUAUUUUUCUAUUAGUCUCAAUAGAUUCUUAUUCACCCUGCAAUUUCCAUUGCUGAUUUUGUCGUUCUAUUAGUUGCUUGUUUUAAAUUAUUUUCAUUUUCAAUGAAUUUUGGUCUUGGUUGUGCAGGAAUUGGCAUUGUGAUAAUUUGAGGUUUAUUGCUAACGCUAUCAUGGAUUGACGAAUUGGAUUUGGUUAUGAACUGAGUUAGCCAUCGGUUAUUAGCAGUUUCUGAACAAGGAGCAAGAAGAUACCAGUGAGGACCUGGAUUUCAGAAGCAAUUCUUUUAUUUUGCUUUUAUUUUGAAUCAUUAGCAUUUUCUUUUUCUCGUUUGGUUUCAGAUAUUGGUGGCAUUGGGUAGUGGGUUUGUUUCUCGAAUCAUGAUGAUGCCAAUGUGAUUGCAAACAGCAGAGUCUAAAAUUUAUACGACCUUGUGAUUUGUCCUAUAUUUUUUUACUAAUGUUUGCUUAAUUUUUUUUCCUUUUUGUUCUUUUUUGAGUGAUCUCCAUAAUUAAUCAAGAACCAAAAUAUC